GACGAACGCUGGCGGCGUGCCUAAUACAUGCAAGUUGAGCGCUUAAGUUUUUUACUUUUACCAACUUGCUUUGCAGCUAACGUGUGUGUAACUCGUGUGUAAUCUUCCUUUUUUCGGUGUUCAACAUUUUGAAACGAUUUCUAAUACCGCCUAAUCACUUUAUACACAAGUUUUAUGUUUGAAAUAUGCAUUUUCAUCACUCAAAUAUUAUCCCUCGUUGUAUUAUCUAGUUGGUGAGGUAAAGGCUCACCAAGGCGAUGAUACAUAGGCGACCUGAGAGGGUGAUAGGCCAAAAUGGGAAGGAGACAAGGAACAAAAUGAUACGGGAGGCAGCAGUAGGGAAACUUCGGAAAUGGACGAAAGUCUGACCGAGCAACGAGGCGUGAGUGAAGAAGGGAUUAGGAUCGUAAAACUCUGUUGGUAGAGAAGAAAGAUGGUGAGAGUGGAAAGCACAUCAAGUGACGGUAACUAAAAAGAAAGGGACGGCUAACUACGUG
Molecule: ribosomal RNA, 497 nt
Filed under: uncultured bacterium
Lineage: Bacteria
Description: partial 16S ribosomal RNA
Rfam family: Bacterial small subunit ribosomal RNA
Source: RNAcentral